RNAcentral lists this unclassified non-coding RNA (261 nucleotides) under uncultured fungus. Its description in RNAcentral is "partial contains small subunit ribosomal RNA, internal transcribed spacer 1, and 5.8S ribosomal RNA". The stretch from base 1 to 73 matches the Rfam family "Eukaryotic small subunit ribosomal RNA", at positions 1759 to 1831 of the family's 1831-position model. Lineage: Eukaryota; Fungi. The record is from RNAcentral.
GCAAACUUGGUCAUUUAGAGGAAGUACAAGUCGUAACAAGGUUUCCGUAGGUGAACCUGCGGAAGGAUCAUUAACAAAUCGUGUGUAUAUGUGUGUGCGAGUUUUAGUUCGUACAUAUGUAUAUAUAAGUGCGCCGGUACGCAUGUGCUGGAAUGCAAAAAUAUUCAUUCAUUAUAUAGUGUGUAUAUUGUCGUGAUACUAAAUACGAAACAUACUUUUAACAAUGGAUCUCUUGGCUCUUGCAUCGAUGAAGAACGCAGC